GGGGGGGUACUCGUUUAAUAAUAAAUUUUAUCUCCUGAAGGCUUGAAGUUGUAUAUAGUUGGUAUAUUGGGUUGCUAUUUUAUUUUUUUGUUCUGAAAGUUUUAUUUUAGCUUGAAAUUUUAGUUUACUUCUUUUUUACAUGUAAAUUUUAUUUGCUUAUAUAGUUUUCUCGCAGUAUUUUGUAUUGAAUAUUUGGUUAUUCGAGAUUCAGAAAUUAGUAGGAGUUUUAAUUGAACUUGUGCCUGCAAUUGCGGUUAUACAGGUAAUGCAGCUGAAAUUUUUUGGUUAGUAAUUAGUUGACAAUGAUGUACUUUUAGCCUAGAUUUUGGGGGUGAAAUUUGAAAUUUGGUUGAGGUUUAUUAUUGGUUAUGAAGUUGUUAAAGUUUGAUUAUAAACUAGGAUUAGAUACCCUAUUAUUCUGACUGUAAAAUCUUGUGCCUGAUUAUUAUUAGAUUAUUUUCUUGAAAAUUAAAAAAUUUGGCGGUAUCUCAGUCUAUUCAGAGGAAUCUGUCCCAUAAUCGAUAGCCCACGAUUUGCUUUACUUUCUUUAUUAGUUUGUAUAUCGUCGUGGUUGGUUAUUUCAGUAGAAUAAAAAUGCUCAGUUCUUUUUAUAAAAAGGCAUGUCAGAUCAAGGUGCAGCUUAUGAGAAAGGUGGAGAUGGAUUACGGUGAGUGUUAUUCUUGGUUUACAUUCUUUUAAUGGGGGUAAUAAAUAGGAUUUGAUAGUAAUAUUGUUUAGAUUUUCUAUGUGAUUGAGGCUCUGAGGUAUGCACACAUCGCCCG
This 782-nucleotide ribosomal RNA is filed under the name Pyrearinus micatus. RNAcentral's name for it is "partial 12S ribosomal RNA". The record is from RNAcentral. Lineage: Eukaryota; Metazoa; Arthropoda; Insecta; Coleoptera; Elateridae.